GAGUUUGAUCCUGGCUCAGAACGAACGCUGGCGGCAGGCCUAACACAUGCAAGUCGAACGAAGUCUUCGGACUUAGUGGCAGACGGGUGAGUAACGCGUGGGAACCUACCUGGAGGUUCGGAAUAACUCGGGGAAACUCGGGCUAAUACCGGAUACGCCCUUACGGGGAAAGAUUUAUCGCCUUUAGAUGGGCCCGCGUUGGAUUAGCUUGUUGGUGAGGUAAAAGCUCACCAAGGCGACGAUCCAUAGCUGGUCUGAGAGGAUGAUCAGCCACACUGGGACUGAGACACGGCCCAGACUCCUACGGGAGGCAGCAGUGAGGAAUAUUCGGCAAUGGGCGCAAGCCUGACCGAGCCAUGCCGCGUGAGUGAAGAAGGCCCUAGGGUUGUAAAGCUCUUUCACCGAUGAAGAUAAUGACGGUAGUCGGAGAAGAAGCCCCGGCUAACUUCGUGCCAGCAGCCGCGGUAAUACGAAGGGGGCUAGCGUUGUUCG
This 492-nucleotide ribosomal RNA is filed under the name uncultured Alphaproteobacteria bacterium. Its description in RNAcentral is "bacterial SSU rRNA". It matches the Rfam family "Bacterial small subunit ribosomal RNA", at positions 9 to 547 of the family's 1533-position model. The record is from RNAcentral. Lineage: Bacteria; Pseudomonadati; Pseudomonadota; Alphaproteobacteria.